This 301-nucleotide ribosomal RNA is filed under the name uncultured bacterium. RNAcentral describes it as "partial 16S ribosomal RNA". It matches the Rfam family "Bacterial small subunit ribosomal RNA", at positions 509 to 807 of the family's 1533-position model. The record is from RNAcentral.
CAGUCGCCGCGGUAAUACGUAGGGUGCAAGCGUUAAUCGGAAUUACUGGGCGUAAAGCGUGCGCAGGCGGUUAUAUAAGACAGAUGUGAAAUCCCCGGGCUCAACCUGGGAACUGCCUUUGUGACUGCAAGGCUAGAGUACGGCAGAGGGGGAUGGAAUUCCGCGUGUAGCAGUGAAAUGCGUAGAUAUGCGGAGGAACACCGAUGGCGAAGGCAAUCCCCUGGGCCUGUACUGACGCUCAUGCACGAAAGCGUGGGGAGCAAACAGGAUUAGAUACCCCCGUAGUCCCUGUCUCUUAUAC